Molecule: long non-coding RNA, 4208 nt
Filed under: Sus scrofa (pig)
Lineage: Eukaryota; Metazoa; Chordata; Mammalia; Artiodactyla; Suidae
Description: lncRNA (ENSSSCG00015016804.1)
Source: RNAcentral
CGCUCUCUAUUUCUUCCUUUCCAGCUUUCUCCUCAGUGACACUAAGCAGGUUUUCCAGGCCCAUUUGUCCUGAAAGAACAGCUUAUAUCCUAAGGUCACCAGUGACUUCCACAUCUCAAGGUCAUCUCAAGGUCAAGGUUCUCUGAUCUCAUUUGAUCCGUCGGCAGCAUCCCACCAUUGUUGGCUGUUCCCGUCUCAUUGAACUGUCUGCUCCUGGAUCCUGUUUCUGGGCACCCACUUGGACGGCCUCCAGGGCCUGGGACUGCUGGUUCUUUGCCUCCUUUGCAGACUCUCUCCCCUCUGCCAGCCAUCAAAGCAGACGGAUACUCAAGGCUCUGCCAUCGGCUCUGCCUUCGUUAUCCACUGCUGAGAAACAAAGGACCCUUAAACUUAGCAGCUUAGAACGACAAGCCUUAAUUACCUCAUUUCUCUGGGUCAGGAAUCUGGUUCUCACUUAACUGAGUGCCUCUGGGCUAGAGUCUCAUAAAGCUGCAGUUAAGAUGUUGGCUGGGGCCGUGUCGUCACCUGAACACUCGACCGAGACUGUCGAAUCUGCUUUCAAUCUCCUCCAUGUGGUUACAGGCAGGAUUCAUUUCUUCCCAGGAUGUAGGACUGAGAGCUUCUGUCUCCUGCUGGCUGUUGGCGAGAGGCCUCCUUCAAGUCCUUGCCACGUGGGUCUGUCCAUAGGGCAGGCAGCUUACAUCAUGCCAGUUGAGGUCCCUCAGAGCGAGUGACUGAGAGAGAGGGCACCUGAGAUGGAAACCAGUCUUUGUUAUCUCAUCUUGGAAGUGACAUCCUAUCACUUUUAUCAUACUCCAUUUUUUUUUUGGCUGUGCCCAUGGCAUGCAGACGUUCCCCAGCCAGGGAUUGAACCCAAACCACAGCAGUGACCUGAGCCACAGCAGUGACAACACCUGAUCCUCAAUCUGCUGAACCACCAGGGAACUCCUACCAUACUCUAUUUUUUCUUGUUUUUGUCUUUUUAGGGCCACACCCGUGGCAUAUGGAAGUUCCCAGACUCGGGGUUGAAUCAGAGCUGCCGCUGCCAGCCUGCACCAUAGCUCUUGGGAUCUGAGCCCUAUCCUCGACCUACACCACAGCUCACAGCAAUGCCAGAGUCUUGAACCACUGAGCGAGGCCAGGGAUUGAACCUGCAUCCUCAUGGAUACUAGUCAGGUUCGUUACUGCUGAGCCACAGUGGGAACUCCAACCACACUCUAGGUUUUAGAAGCAAGUUACCAGGUCCAGCCCACGUUCAAGGAGUGUUGCCCAGGGUAUAAAUACUGGGAGGUGGGAAUUAUACUGGUCCGCCUUAGAAGCUGCCUGCCACAGGCUGUCUUCUCUUCUCACAAUCCACCCUCUUCCUAGACCACCUCAGACACAUUUAGACUUUAAUUACCAGCCACACAUGAGAGGGAGAUGCUUUCCAAACUUCUGUUUUCAGUUUAGGCCUACAUUUCAUAUUCCAGACUCACAUCUGACGGAUCAAUGGCCAUUUCAUUUGGAUUUCUCCAAGGCUCUUCCAACAUAAAAGGUCUGAAAAUGGACUCAUGGGUUUUCCCCAGACCUGGUCUUGUCCUACAAUUCUCUAUCUGUUGGCGAUGGUACAGGCUAAGGUGUGAGAUGGAAGGACAGAUGGGUAAUCCAGCCUGAUGCCAGAAAGAUGCUAACCGGAAUCUGGGUUCUUAUUCACGCAGUCGAAGAAUGAACUCUGCAAACACACAGGCAGCAAGCGAGCAAAGUCUUUAUAACAGGAAAGCAAAUAGUUCCCAGGGCUGCUGCGAGCGGGGAGAAGAGCCCCCGCUCUCUAUUGUCCUAUAGGAGUUUUUAUCCCUUAAAAAUGGGGGGUACCAAUGUGGGGUCCAGAAAGGUGUGGUUUUCUCCCAUUGGCCUUGCCUACCACACAUGUUAAUCAAUAGCCAUAUCAAAGAAUCCAUGCUCCUACACUGACUACCCGAGUUGGUAUUCUGCCCCAAGCCCUCCUCCACGAGGUAUCCAGUGGCUCUGCCAUUCCAUUCCGAUGUUGUCUUCAUUCAUGGGGUCAAAGCUGGCUUACCUGUCCGAUGCCCAUGUCCCAGCCCAAGGAGCGGGAAAAGGAAGGAAGUGAACAGCAAGGAAUUUCCUUUCAGAAGGACAUGACCCAGAAAUAGCCCAUCCCUUCUCCUCACAUCCUGUGCACUGGCUGUGAGCCUGCAGUUGGGGAAGGCUCUGCCAUGAGGGGGCUGAGCAUCCCCCAUUGCCAGUCCUGCAGCUGUGUCCCCAGUUACAAUGUGGGGGCUAUAUUAUGGCCUAGACUGGGCUUCCUCUCAGAGAAGAGUCUGAGGCAGGGGACCUCUGUGCUGUUAAUAAUUAAUUAAUUAAUUAUUUUUUUUGUCUUUCUCUCUUUUUAGGGCUGCACCCUAGGCAUAUGGAGGUUCCCAGGCUAGGGGUCCAAUUGGAGCUGUAGUCGCCAGCCUACACCAGGGAUCUGAGCCGCAUCUGAGACCUACACCACAGCUCAUGGCAAUGUUGGAUCCUUAAUCCACCGAGUGAGGCCAGGGAUCGAACCUGCAUCCUCAUGGAUGCCAGUCCAGUUUGUUAACCGAUGAGCCAUGACGGGAACGCCUGUGCUCUUGUUUUAUAAGGGAACAAAAUCCCAGGGUGUAAGAGCAACUAACAAAGGGAGCGAGGCAGGAAGGAGAGAGUUUUAAGAUGAGGAGGAUGCAUAAUAUGAACUUGGGCUACUUCUCCAAGUUGUGUAAACCUCCCUUGAGGACCAGCCCUCGGGGGGAAAAAUGCAGGAAGAAAAUUUCCGCUGGCUCCUGUCUUCCAUUGGUCAAAAGUUGGUCCCCCAGUGGUAGGGCGGGUGCAUGUGAUGCACUCACCCUUUUGUUUUUCUGACUUUGCAUGCAGAGACAAGCGCACCCAAUUCAACAGGAAGCCCCAGCACUGGAGGUGAGGAGGUGGGGUCUGGGCCAGCGGUGAGGGGCCUCAGAGCCCAGCGGAGCUGGAGCCAAAGGUAGAGGGGCUGGAGGAGACCUGAGGGGGCCCCUACUAGGCCUCUCUGCACCCACUAAAGGAAGAAGAGGAGAGUGGAUGCGGGGGUUCACUUGCUGCUCUCUGCCACAUCCUGUUCCGAUGAAUGACACUCCUUUUCAUUUAGUUCCAGCAAGUGAGUAAUCUAAGAGGCACCCUUAUCCUUAGACCUGCACCUGACCCCAAAUAGCCCAUCAUCUAUUUGCUUCUCUCCAUUUGGACGAUGUUCUUACUCAGAGCUCCUAUUAUCUUCCAUGGGCACAGAUAUCUCCUCAGUGAGCUCUUGUCCUCCUUCGUAUCCAUUUUCCACACCCAGCUGGAGUAAACCAACUGGAUCUUGUCACCAUGACCUGCUCAUUUAAAUCCUCUGACAGCUUUCCAUUGCUUGGAGGAUAAAGACAAAAUGCCUCAAGGUUGCCCACAAAAUCUUAUGUGUCCUGGCUCCUCGCCUUCUCUUGGAACAAGGUCCCCAUUAUCUUCUGUUCCAGCCUCACCUGCCUCCUUUUGGCCUUGGCUUUCUGAAGCUUUGGGCUGCCACAGGACCUUGGCACAUGCUCUGCCCAGUGCUUGCCAGUCUUUCCUCCCAGCUCCCUUCUCAUUUUGAAGCUCUCAGAGCAGUUACCCUUUUCUCAGGGAGGUCUUUCCUGAUUUCCUCAACUGGGACAAACUCCUGUUAUAUAGGUAUCCAGUCCUGGAUUCCCCAAGAGGCAGACUAAGUAUGCAUUUUAUAUUUCAGGAUUUUGUAAAACACGGUCACUCCUCAGUUUUCCUAAGAUGCUAAUUUCAAAGAAGUCACCAUGGGAACGAUAAGACUCUUUGGAGAUUUCUCUACACUUGCUUUUUUUUCCUGCACUCACAGCACAUGGAAGUUCCCUGGCUAGGGAUCGAACCCAAGCCACAGAUGUGACAACACUGCAUCCUUAAGCACUAGGCUACCAGGAAACUCCCUACACUUUGCGUUUUUAUUCUAAAUUGGUUUUGGAAGAGGUCAUAAUCUUUUCAGUCCUUAAAGCCUCUAAGAGUCAGACUCGAAAACUCUGGCUCUGGAAAUAACUCUGCUUGUAAGACUUUCCACAGUUGCAGCUUUGCUUUUUUUACAUCAUUAGUUAAUAGAUGUCUGUCUCCCCCACAAGGCUCUCAGUCUUUUGAAGGUAGAGGCCUAGGUGGUGUUCUGACUCACCAAGGAGCUUAGC